UCCUUGUUCAGCAGUUCUGAGGAGGACCAGCGAGAUGAAGCCCAGAGGAAGGAGGACGACAUGAUCCUGCUGCUAAAGAAGGCCAAGCUGAGCGUGUCUCGGGGACAGCUGGACGCCGCCUCUGGUUUCCUCCAUCAGGCCGUCGUUUUGGCUCAUCAGACUCACAACAACCAGGCCAUCAUCUACACCUACAGCCUGAUGGGGAACCUGGCGUACGUUCAGGGUCAGCUAGACAGCGUGAGUAUCGUCCAGUCACAGCCCCUGAUUGUCCCCGUGUGAUCCAACUGCUCUUUGUCUCUGAGCUGCUUCCAGAUGGUCGUGGAAAACCUGGAAAAGUCCUGGAAUUUGCAAAUAGUGAUUUCCAGGCCUGGAAAAGUGUUGAAAAUCUAAUUAGAUCCUUAAUUUAGUUUUUUAGUUUGAGAAACAUGUAUGUUAUCACUUGAGGCUUUCAAGGACCAUGGGAAAUUUAAAAAUCCAAUACUUAGUGUUUUGACAGUUUCUGGCUGAAUGAGCUCGUUUUUAAAGAAAACAUGUUUUCUUUAAAAAUCCAUCCAUCCAUCCAUCCAUCCAUCCAUCCAUC
Plectropomus leopardus (leopard coralgrouper) is the source of this 580-nucleotide non-coding RNA. Lineage: Eukaryota; Metazoa; Chordata; Actinopteri; Perciformes; Serranidae. The record is from RefSeq and is a predicted model, not a curated record.